CCUACGGGAGGCAGCAGUGAGGAAUAUUGGACAAUGGGCGCAAGCCUGAUCCAGCCAUGCCGCGUGCAGGAAGACGGUCCUAUGGAUUGUAAACUGCUUUUAUACAGGAAGAAAUACUUUCUCGUGAGAGAGCUUGACGGUACUGUAAGAAUAAGGAUCGGCUAACUCCGUGCCAGCAGCCGCGGUAAUACGGAGGAUCCAAGCGUUAUCCGGAAUCAUUGGGUUUAAAGGGUCCGUAGGCGGUUUAAUAAGUCAGUGGUGAAAUCUGGUCGCUCAACGAUCAAACGGCCAUUGAUACUGUUAGACUUGAAUUAUUGUGAAGUAACUAGAAUAUGUAGUGUAGCGGUGAAAUGCUUAGAUAUUACAUGGAAUACCAAUUGCGAAGGCAGGUUACUAACAAUGGAUUGACGCUGAUGGACGAAAGCGUGGGGAGCGAACAGGAUUAGAUACCCUGGUAGUCCACGCCGUAAACGAUGGAUACUAGCUGUUGGGCGCAAGUUCAGUGGCUAAGCGAAAGUGAUAAGUAUCCCACCUGGGGAGUACGUUCGCAAGAAUGAAACUCAAAGGAAUUGACGG
This 576-nucleotide ribosomal RNA is filed under the name uncultured bacterium. Its description in RNAcentral is "bacterial SSU rRNA". It matches the Rfam family "Bacterial small subunit ribosomal RNA", at positions 338 to 916 of the family's 1533-position model. The record is from RNAcentral.